UGAGGGACUAUUGAUGCUUUUGGUAUCAGCAGCCACAGAAUUCAUCAGACACAGCACAAAAGAGCAGGAGAAGAGAUAAUGGCAGAUGCCAGAAGGUUGUCCAGCUGGUUACUACCUCUCCUCUUCACCUGAUUAUACCUGAUUACUGCUGACUCGAUGGGCAGGGAGAGUCGCUGACUCCUGACAGAAAGACUCUGUCACCCCUUGCCAUUUAUUUUAGAUCCUGUGAAUCCUACUGUCAAUGUUGUGACACCUGCAAUGCCUGGGAUGAAGCUGCCCAUGUGGUGAGAUGCAGCCUGUGGAAGCCUCUUUUCAGUGGAGUGAGAGCCAAGCCCCCUUGGCUUUUCAUAGACAAUUGGUGAACGGGACAAGGAGACACUGUCCUUGGAUGUCUGAAAAAAAAAGAAAAAGGUUGCAAAACAUGUUGCCAAUAAGAAUGUUGUAGAUGAAAGGCAGGAUGAAGGAAAGUGGUCUUAAUUUAAAUUCUCUAUUUUACUAAACCUACUCUUUAACAAAUAUGUUUAUGUGAGGCAUCAGAAGCAAAUGUAUUUUGGCUUUUAAGAGAAUUAAAAUUGUUUCCCCUAUUUUUUUAUUUGUUUGCUUUGGUGGCUUUGUGACCAAAAAAAUUGUUUUAAUCCAAAUAGCCACAAUAAAUAAAUAAGCAAAUGAAUAAAAUUCCCAGGUCAUUUGAGAGAAAAGAUUAACUGAAAAGGUAAAGCAUCUCCCCCUUUUUAGUUUCAGUUAAUUAUAGUGUCAGGAUGACUUUUUAACUUACCUGGCAAUCUGGAACCUCAUAGAGUCACUUGCGUUUUCAAAAUUUCCAUGUGAAAACAUGAUUGUGCCAAGUACUCCCUAUUAACUUUUAGACAUCAUCUAUAAAAUCACUACAGGAAAAUAUGGAAAUAUCUGAGAGAUACACAGUGGAUCGCCUCAGAAUAAAUCGUUCCCCAAAUCAUUUUAUGACUGCCUGAGUCGGGACUCAUGGGUCAGAGUAGAGUCAUAGUUAAGGUUUGCAACUGGCUUAGUAGCAAGAGGGGAUAAACAAACUAUCCAGGCUGUUGAACUGUCCAGUUUCGCUACAACUGUAUUUACUUGUUGGGAUCAACUGUUUUCUUUCCUAUUAAGGUAUUAGUAGCCACUGAUAAUGGAAGCCAGGGCCCGCUAGAAAUAGACCAGAGGAAAUUUCCUGACUCACUUGCAUAACAACAGUUCAUCAGCACUGAAGAUAUAUGAAGUGUGACUGCAGAGUAAUGGGAGUGAUUAGGUUUCUCUGCACAACAAAACUCUUACAUACAAAUGAGCACUGUCCCCUUCAGGACAGUCCUCAGGGAACCCGUAUGCUUAUUCCGGUGUGUGAUUGGUCUGGAAGCAUUUUUGGAUGCCCUCUGGACAGAAAGUGCUUUUGGACACUGUUAGUGGUGACAAAGUGUGUCCUUUGAGGAUGGAUUAGAUUGUUGGAAAUGAUACAAUGUAUUCACAGUAUACAUCUGUUGUUUUUGUCUACCCAGAAGCCUCUGUCCAAACUUGUGGUUGGAGAGGCUGUAUUUCUUCUGUCGUUCAUUCUGUCUUUGAAGGCUCUCGAGGAGAAAAUAGCUUUUAAUAUCUCUUGGGAAAUGGCCACAUUUUCCCCUGGCAAUUGAACCCAUGGCUUUCUUGAAUGACUACUCCUCAACCAGGUCUAAGUUGUUUAGGUAGGCUGACUUGACCACCAGUUCCAGAGCACAGACAUGUGACGAGCCUGGCCAUAGUCAUUGAUUCAGGGAUGGACACAUGACUGAAACGGCAUGCUGGCAUUUAGUUCUGGUACUUGGAUUUUAACUGUUGGGAGGAGAAUUUCUCACUCUGCUAUGAUAUAAGCAUGAAGCUACUGGCUUCCACUUGCUGCUACAAAGAGCCUGCUUAAAAAUGGAGCCAACAUAAAAGGAAGCAGAUUUAAGACCUGAGCGAUGAGAGCGUGCACAUGUGUGUAUAUCCACAUAAUGAGACUAAGUCUUGAUUUCUGCACCUUGAUCCAGAUAUACCUGGAGCAGAAACUCUGCUGGGACUCUUUUGUAUCAUGAGCCAGUAACCUCCCUAUUUGCCUAGUAGGUUGAUUUGGGCUUCAAUCUUGCAACCAAGUGAGUCCUGACUAAACCAGCAGAAUGGAGCCAGGUAAGGUUCUUUCUCAAGAAGAGAAGAAGGAAGGUAUCAAGACGUUUAUGACAAAUUUCUACUCAACACUGAGCACCUGCUAAGUGCUGGGCCUAAUAGUCGAGAUGCUGCAAUGAACUAGUCCAUUCAGGAUGCUGAGGUGUUUCAGCCUAGAAGAGACUGCUUUUCUUCCUUUGCUCAUGCAGACUCAGGGGGCCAUUCUCAAGGAGGAGUUAGUGACAGGAAUGUCUUUGGCAAAGACAGCACUCUUGAGUGUGGUCAGAACAUGUUAUUUAUUUCCCAAGAUGAUUAGUUUUUGAAGAAGACAACAAAUAGUUGAGGCUAUGAAUUCUAUCUCUGUAAAAAUAGAGUUAUGUUUUCCUCCUGUAGUCAGAUCUCCUGUGGAACGUGAGUAAACAGGAAUUUCUAUGUAUGGAGCAAGGACAGUAUGGUUAGCACAUAAUACAUGUGUUUAUUUCAGAGCUGGGGAGGACUCCUGACCAGCGUGACACCUAACAUUGGAGUGAAGGGGCAGCAGAUGUGACUUGUUCCUCCUUGCCUUCCACCGUGAUUGUGAGACCUCUCCAGCCACGUGAAACGGAAUGGGAAAUACUCUUCUCCUACCACCAACUUGGCCACUCUCCAGUGACGAGGUUUCAGAAGCAGUGCAUUUUCAAGUUUCUGCCUCAGAAGAGAUCCAGUUUGGCAUUCUGUCUAAGUUCACUGCACAGAGACGGGUUUGGCUCUGUGAUUCAUCAGAAAUAAGAAAAACAAACACUGUAAAUGGAGAACUUGAAAAAGAGGUGGGCACCAUCUCCCCACCCAAGAGAAUGGAUUUAAGAGGAAAUUUGUUUAUGGGAUGAAGUUUUAAAAGGCGACCUGGAAAAUUUAGCAAAGAUGUAAAUAAACAACUCUUCCUUGGAUUGCAUUAGGCUUCAGAAUAAAUAUAUUAACCAGCUUCAGUCAAAGUCUGCCUAGAAUCUGACCCUGACAAGACCCAGUGACUAGUGCUGCUCCGAACCUUCCCCACCAACAGCAGGCAAUUUUCUCUGUGGCAAAGCUACCUCGAAACAGGCAUCCAGGCUUCCCUCCCACGAAGUGAAGAUGAGAAAACUGAGUCUCAGAAUGGACAAGCUCACAGAUGGCAAGUGGUAGAGCAGACUUCACACAUAGGUCAGCAUUGAGGCUUUCCCAGUUAACUGAUGAAGACAUCCAGCAACAUGGAACACCUUGGUUAUUUAACCCUUGACCCUCUCCAGCAGAAAUUCCUGAUUAGCUUCAGCCUGGACAGUCUCAUCACACCUCCCUGAACACAUGUUGCUUAUUUGUUAUCUGUACCUUGGUUCAAGUUCUCCCUCCUAUUUUGAGUGUUGUGUCCUUUCCCUCCCUUCCUUCUAUCCAGCUUACUCCCACACUUCAGGGGAAAUGACACCUCCUCCAUUGUGUCUUACUCACUGGCUCCUACCCACAUGUACCUCCUUUUCUGAACUCUUAUUCCAUGAGUGGCCCUAUGUCUUAGCACUUAAUCUCCUAUAAACCAUGCUAAUAAAAUGGA
RNAcentral lists this long non-coding RNA (3685 nucleotides) under Homo sapiens (human). RNAcentral describes it as "HSALNT0328467". Lineage: Eukaryota; Metazoa; Chordata; Mammalia; Primates; Hominidae. The record is from RNAcentral.